Molecule: small nucleolar RNA, 137 nt
Filed under: Bombyx mori (domestic silkworm)
Lineage: Eukaryota; Metazoa; Arthropoda; Insecta; Lepidoptera; Bombycidae
Description: Bm_86
Source: RNAcentral
AUGUCGAGUAUAGAGUCUCUGGCAUUCUUAUUUAGUUUGCUGGUGCUAGAUUAACUCGUAGAUGAUAUCUCUGCCUGAUACCUGGAACUAGUGUUUUUCACAAGUCAUAUGGACUCAUGGGUUAAGGGUACAUUCUU